UUUUUUUUUCUCUUGCAACCUUCAAAGAAGAAUUAGGAUAUUGUUACUGUUUAAGAUUAAGAUCUUUGUUUUUUCUUAGAAUGAUUAUUUUGUAUCAGUUCAUGGAGUGGAAGAGCACAGUCAAGCCCUUUCUUUUGACUUAAAGACAACACCUUAGUGAGAUACUCUGCAGCGAGAGGAACAUGAUUGUGGGAAACACAACACUUGCACGUAGUUGGUAGAAUCUUUCUGUAUCUAACCUUGAAAAACUGCUUAGAAAUCUCGAGAUGAGUUGUAUUUUUGCAGGAAAUGGGAAUCCAUGUGGGAGCUCAUGAGGAAGGCAACAGCAGAAAUAUUAGAAACUCUCAGGUCUCAGGUCAAAAACCGCUGCACAUUGCUCCUAUAAUUAACCAGAGCUGUUAUUUCAGUAUAUCGAAGCAUUUAUAUAUAUAUAUAUUGGCACCUGUUUACUACUGUCUUGUCCGUAACAAAUCUCUAACGUCUUCAUGUGAAUCAUGUGUGGGGUAGAGACGUCGAGAAAGACUCUUUCGUCCCCAGCAACGUGAGGGUGGCUGCGGGCAUGUUCAUGGAGAAGACUCAUGAGAACCAACGUACGAACUUUUGGUUCUCUUUGGCCUGCAAACAAUUUUUUCUUGUCCAUUUAUCACGUUCAUGUUCACAUGGGUGGGUACCUCUUUAACUUUAGUUGAUUGUUAGAGCGUCAUCAAUUACUGAAUGUUGACGACACUACUGAUCAUUGGAGUUUUCGAUUUUCGAUAUUAUCUGCAGCCUCUUUGCUAUUUUUAAUUCCAUCCAUUGCCGUUAAUUAUACAUCAAUAUUAUUAACUUCGUUGAUUGAUCAUAACCCGGUUAUUUUUUUGGAUCACUACGAUAUCUAUUUGACCUAUCUGGACUAAGAAUGAGUUUAAAAAAAUUAACUCAAAGUUAAGUUGAUUGAUCCAAUCAUAACCCAGUUAUUUUUUUUUAAUUUUUUUAAAAUAUUAAUCCCAAAUAGUUGCGUCAAAUCAUCUUCAAAUUAGGUUUAAUAGCUAUAUUAGGUUUCAUAACUUUUUUAAUUCACUUCAUGGUGGGGUUCUUUUAGUGUGUUCUACGCACACAACUUGAUAAACUCCUGGUUCAAUGGACAAUGAUGGUUAAUGGCAGAUUUUGGUGAAAGACAUGGAAACUAUAUAUCCUCUUAUGGUAUUACUUGGAGAGAGUAAUGAUCUUCAUAUCAGUGUGCUUGUUGUAUUCGAAACUGAACAAGUGUUCGAAGCUGAAUAAGAAGACGCUGAGAAAAGUUGAAUGGCUUGCGGUACCAUUUUGUCAGCCUUUCUUUUGUUUUCUAGUUCUUUUCCUUUCUAUCCAUUGGUGCUGCUCUAUGUAAAUACUUUAUCUCUUUUCAUGGCGGCCAUCCGCCAGCAUGCUUUUUAUAAAACCUUCUAUGAUUAUUACUAUGAAAAGAAAAACUAUAUUAUAUAUUGUUGUUCCAAUGUCAUUUGCUAUCCAGCUACUUAUCUUCUUCUUCUUUUUUCCUUUUCGCUCCUAGCUAGGUAUGCUCUCAUAACUGCCUGCCUGCCUGCCUGCAGGUUACUUGGUCAAUGAGCUAGUGACAUUUUAUUGGGAAAAUAAAAUUUAUGGGUUGCUGUAGAGCUAGUGGGAAUCAAACAAGAUGGAUCUUUUCGGGUGACAGAAUGAACUUCAAUGUAAUGAAUGGUAUUAACUAUUGAUUUUUUAGAAAUUGUAAGCGUGUGUGUGUGUGUGUGUGUGUGUGUGUGUGUGUGUGUGUAUGACCUCGUAUCUUGAACUGCUACAAUGGAAGGAAAAACCACUCUUAGGCCGAACUGAGAAAGCGGUCUGGAAGUCCAGUCCAGGGGACAAGAUCCAAACGUUUGGUAGCCUAGAACUUGUCAAAACAGUACGUAACCGAUUGAUUUACAUGUUGGAAAAAAAGAAAAGAAAAAAACAGAGGGUCAUGAUGUAUAACUGUGCUAAAACUCCUUCGUUUUCUCUGUAUAUAUCCAUGUGAUGGAUAAAUUAUGUCCUCCAAAGUCAACUUCCUUACUUGGCUGAGUGGAUCUACAAGCAUGAUGGAGCAUGUCCUGGGUUUGAAUCAUUUUGUCAUUGUCCUAAUUUUUUUCCAUCUAAUGUUCAUUUUUUUUCCCAUUAGAACAAUGCGAUGGGGGAGAUUUUAUGAAAAAAUUGAAAAGAGGAUCCAAUUGAGAAAUGUUUGAAACAUUUGAAAUUGAUAAAAUAUUUUAUAAAACAACCGACACUACCAUAAUUCUUAAAAAUACUGAGGGAAUCUUCCAUCGGUAAUAAAUUUACUGAUGGGCUCAUGGAUAAAAAUGCUACAUCAGUAAAAUUCUUGUCGGUAAUUUUUAGAUUGUCGGUGAAUCUAUUAAUAAUAAAAUUAUCAACAGAUUUACUGACGGGAAAAGUUCACAAAAAAAAAAUCACCUGCUUUAUUCCAUCAGUAUUUCUAUCGGGAAUGUUGUCAUAUAAUUGACAGAAAUACUUAUACAAUUCUAUUGGAGAUAAAACAUUAGCACAAUGAUAUUUGCAAUAAUUCUUUUCUAACUCUCUGAAAUAUACUGACGUCGAACUAAUCCAUCGGUAUUACCAUUAGAAAUUAUUUAAAAAUAAUUUUUUAAAAAAACUGAGUUGCUUGAAAAAAAAAAUCAAUUCAAACAAAUUUACAACAAAUAAAUAAUACAAAAAAAUAAACAACAACAACAAAUAAAUAAAUCAUUAAAAACAGUUUCGACCUAACCUAGAAAACCUAUUUCAGAACUCAUAAUCUAGCAACAAAUAAAAUAAUUUAAUUGAAAUUGAACAACAAAAAUGAAAAACAAAUCCAACAAAAUUGAUCUCAUAUGAAAAAAAAAUCCUACAACAAUAUUCAUACAAUUAUUAAGAACAGAAAAAUUUAAAAAAAAAACAAAAAAAAAUAAUACUAUUAUUUAAGGCUCAUGUUAUUAUUUAAUGAAACAAAUAUAAUGCUAAAGAUUAAUUAAUUAGAUGAGUAAUUAGAUCACGCUACUCUAAUAUUCUUAAUGUAACUAACACUAUUAUUUAACACACUCUGACAUCCCCUCAAACUUAAGGUGGCGGAGUGGAAAUCAACUUGAGCUUGGAAGACAAGUCUCGAAAAUGUUCGUUCUUGAAACACAUCAUUUUAGGCAAUUUGAACAUCGAUUAUCACGGUGCAACGAGGUGGCACCGAAAGGUUGAACUCCCAUAUCCUGAAGAAGCCAUCCAACGAUGAUUGUGCAGAAAGAUGGAGUCCAUAGAGUAAAUUAAGUAUACCCCUUGUAAUAGUUAUAUGAUCAACACAUGAUGAGAAAAAUAUGCUAUAUAUAUCAGGAUGAGUGACAAUGAGAUAUAUAGUGUAGGGUCACAUGGUGUUGUACCAUUACAAGCGUGAACUCGCCAUUAGACUCAAUAGUUGGAGUAGUUUUACUAUCAGUCAAAUGAGCAGGAAACAAGAUAUCUAUAGAAUAUCUAGCCUAUAAAUAAGUAGUGGCUAGAGUGUCGUCUGAAGAAACUUGUAGGCGUAAAAGAAAACCUAGUUUGGCUAGAUCCUUUUUUUUCGUACUAUGAUUGAAGAACUCCUUGAGUUUUGAGAUGUUGAAAAUUAUCCCUUGUAAUAGUUAUAUGAUCAACACAUAGCAGAGGUAGCAUGUGUUUGAAGCGAAUCCAAAAUGACUCAUGGUAGAGUGGUAUUUCUCAAAUCAAACGUGGGAAUCUUGUUUGAGAUCAUAUAUAUAUAAAGCUCGAUAAAAUGAUAAACUUUUUCUAGUAGAUGAUCAUGGCGGCUAGAAGAAGGAUAUAUACAAUUGUUUUGAAAGAUUCCCUUUGAGGAUGACAUUAAUUCUUGACAUCCGUAUGAAAUAAUUGACACUAUUUGACAACAGCAACAACCAGCAAGAACUUCGUAGUGAGGUAAUAAGAUGAGUAGCAGAGCAAAAGUCUCCUCAUAGUUAAUGUCAUAUACUCAGGAUUUAAAUCUUUCACUAUAAGUCGACGUCUUUAUAAUUCUCAACAAGCCAUCCGAGCGAGUCUUGAUUUUACAGAUACAUUUGCAACCGACUAUAGCUUUUCUAAGCGAAAGAUCAACGACCAACUCUCCAACGUUUAUUUUGUUUAAGGUUAAUUUGUAAUUAUUCAUCUGACAUAACUUGGUAUCAUAAAGGAUCGGUGCUAGCUUCCUUACAGGUUUAGGGCUCAUGCAACAAGGAAACGAUAGAACAAAAGCGAAAAUCAUGAAACCAAGAAGGUAAGUGGCGACUGUUUGGCAACAUAUAUAUAUAUAUUACUGUGGUGCAACGUGUGGUUUCACUGUAUUGCCAAACUGUAUCUAGAUCGGAUAGAAUGACAUAAUGGAAGAGAUGGUUGUGAAAAGCAAUCAUAGUAUGAGUGAAGUAGCAUCUUUCAUCGGAGUAGAUUUUUCUUCAUGAAAGACCGUGACAUGCUAGUUUGGUGAGCUUAUAUACAGUAGACAACUCUAAGCGAAUAUUGAUGCCGACCAACAAACUUUACAUGGUUAUCCUUAAGAAAUAACUCAAUAAAAGGAUAUGUGAAGACGAAGUACGUACGUAGUUGAUAAUAUUUGAGAUUGUGAUAAAAAAAAAGAAAAUUAAAUGACAUAGGAUGAGAUACGCUAAAACGUUGAGACAUAGUAUCACAUAAUUAAGCUGAUGAGCUUAUAUUAAAUUAUUAUAGUAUUUCAAGAAUAUUACAACUUAUCUUACAUUAUUGUCAUAUAUUCUAAUACAUUUAAUUAUUCAAAGCAUGGGAUGAAGUACUGGGUAUACGUGGAUUCUAUUCCUUUAUAAAAUAUGAAAUACCGUAGGGAUAAGGAGGCUAAAGAAGAAACUUCAGAAAAAAAUAUGAAGAAUAAUGACAGGUACCCUAGAACAUGUUUAUUUUUGUAUUUUAAAAAAAAAUUAAGUCGUUUUAUUUUUUUUAUUUGCUUUAAAUUUAUUUUUUUUUGUUUUCAGAUUAUUUUGAUGUGCUGAUAUCAAAAAUAAAUUUUAAAAAAUUAAAAAAUCUUAUUUCAAUGCAAUCAUAAGCCAAUAACACUUUGAAAAAUAAUCACUACCACAUACCAAACAUGCUUAUAGUAUUAUAAAGAUGCCAUGCGUUUGAAAAAGACUAUCUAACUUAGUCAAAGUGUUGAUUGGAUUCUCAUUUCUAAUCCGACCUUGUGUGUAGAAGAUUUGUUGAAGGUUGGUCUAGUUACGCUAGUUCUCAAGCCAAACAUGACUUAAAACAUGCAAGGAGCCUACUUCUAAAGGUACAUAAUUCUAAAUAAUUGAAGCAACCAUUAAAAAGAAAGCUAAAAUAUAUGGGAAAAACAUUAUAUGUAUGUCAGAUUAUAUUAGUGAAUUGAUGGUUUUGCUUUAGAAAAAACUCUCAAUACAUUAUCUUUUUUGGGGUAAAAUAAUCUUUUUCUUUGGUUCAUUUGUCUUUUUUGAAUUGUUAAGGGGUGGCUUUAUCUUUUCAUUAUUCUUUUGCAUGGUAAAAUAACCUUGUUACCUUAAAAGAAAUAAUCAUUUAACAAUGGUCUAAGAUUUUUUUGGACAUUUCAUAUAUUUUUCUUUGCUACAGUAUAAUGACUUUAUUACCCUUGGAUUCAAAUUUUCAAAAGCUUAACUUGAGGGGCUAAUUCAUAAUUACAUAGUGAUUUUUUUUUUAAUAAUGUUUAGGUACUGAGGUUAGAGUAGUAUUUAAAAAUAACCGCAACAAGCCACCGCCUUCACGCAGCGUAUGCGACUAACUCCAGUGGUAAAAAAUGUUAGUCCACCUCGUCUUUCAAUUCAUCUCGGCCACCUCUUCUAUCAUCUGCGGCACAUGUAAUUUCUAGACAUGCAAUCACUGACAUCUUUUUUUCUCUUUCCUCCUAUAAAUGCAUGCCUGGCCCUCCGCAUUUUCAUAUCAUCCCUUCAAGUUUUUUUUUAUUUUUUCCUUCAUCUUUUUAUUUCUAUUUGUUUUAUCUUUAUUCAUUUCUCAGUUUUUGUUUUGUUGUCAAUUGCAUCCUUCUUUAAUUUUUUUUAUUCUAUCAAAUUUGGUCCUUUUUUAUUUCUUUUUUAUUUAAGAUAGUUUUUGAAUUUGUUUUCUUUUUCAAUUUCACCCCUUAAUUUUUUUUCCUUUCAUAUUUGAUGCUCAUUCUUUUUUCUUUUUUUCUUUUGUUAGUUUCUUAAUUUGAAAUCGUUUUUUCAAUUUUAUCAUUUAACAUUAAAUUGGUUGAAAAUUAAAAUUCUUAAUUGAACCUGGGCUUUCAAUUCCACAAGUUGCAAAUUUGAAAUAUUAACUUAGAUUUAGAAUAUUCACCCGGAUCAAUUAGUAUAGGUUGAAACAAUAAAUUUACCAGUUUUUCAUACAAUGGCUCGCAUACUCGCCCUCCUUUAAUUAUUGUGGAUUAGCCAUUUUGUAAUUGAUCAAGGUUAUUGUUGUCUUUUUUAUUAUUUUUUUGCAAAGUUAAAGUUACUAUAAUGUCCAUAAAUGCAAAAAACACUUAACUUGGGUUACGGUUUUUUUUUUAAUCACUUUUAAAGCUUGACUUCAAGGGCUUAAUCAUUAUCUUAGGGGCAAUUUGGUCUUUUACUUAAUGUUGAUAAUAAUUAUAAAAAAACUUUUUAUUUUUCCCAGUUUCAUCCAUCAAUAUUGAAUUGGUUGAUAAAUAGACUUCAUGAAUGGUUUUUUUUUUUUGCUUUGUUUAUGGUUAUCACGGUCUCAAACAAACAUCUAUUUUAGGAUUAAUACUUGAAAUUAUAAGUAUCUAAUUUUUAUCAUAUAAUUAAGUAAAAAAUGUUUUUUAAAAGAAAUAUUAAACCCAGCUAAGUUCAUGAACUGAUUUUUGUGCAACUGAGGCCAUCCAAUAUGCUUAAUCAUCAUCUUAAGAGCAACUUGAUCUUUUACUUAAUGUUGAUAAUAAUUAAAAAAAAACUAUUUAAUUUUUCCCUGAUUAUACCCUUCAAUAUUGAAUUGGUUGGGAAAUAUACUUCGUGAAUGGUUUUUUUCUGCUUUAUUUAUGGUUAUCACGGUAUUGAACAAACAUUUAUUUUAGAAUUGAUGCUUGAAAUUGCAAGUAUAUAAUUUUUAUCAUAUAAUUAAAUAAAAAAGUUUUUUAAAAAAAGUUAUUAAACCCAGUUAAAUUCAUGAACCGAGUUACGUGUGAUUGAUGUCAUCCAAUAUGUCGUAAUCUCAAUAUUUUUUAAAACAAUAUUCUUGGUUUUUUUUAUAAGUUGAUUCAUGUUUUUGUCGGUCAUUUAGGUUUUCUUUGAACCUAUUAAAUCAAUCAAUUCAUAUCGAGUUAACUCUUAUAUAUUUAAUUGGAAACGUGCGCAAGGCAAGAAGUCAUUUCAAGAGAUUUCAAGAUUUACCUGUUUUCUGAAUUUAAUAGCAUUUCCAAAAAAAUCCUCACACUCUCGGUGUUCUUUUUAACAUUUUAAAAAAUUGAUCUAUCCACGACAAAACAUGAACCAAUGGAAUAGUAAGUUUGAUAACAUAUUCCAUUAGUAUCCUUACACUUUUGUGUUUCUUGGUUAUAAAUCUACAAGUUCUUUGUCUUCUGUAGAUCCUUGGUAUUUGCAUAUCCUUGAUCUCUAUAGAUUUGUUCUUGUUAUCUUGUAUGUCUACUAUUAGGUAUUUUAAUUUAUUUUAUUACCUAUAAAAAAAAUAGUAAGUUUGAUAAUAUAUCGUGUCGAAAAACAUGUGAAAGCAAUUCUGAAAUCAUCCAUACAUUAAGGAGACAUGUUAACAUUCGUAUACAUAAAUAGUUAUGACAAUUUAGCUUGAGUUUAGACUCUUGCUCAAUCCCUUAUAUUUUUUAAAAAAGAAAUUUGGUCUUUGGCAUAACCUUAUAAAAAGUUUAGUUUAGAUCAUAUGUAAAUACCAUAUGUAUAUAUGUUAUAUGGACACGUGGUAAGCUAAAACUAAAUUUAUUAAAUCUAGCUAGACUCGUGAUUUUAUCUAAGACUUAGGUCUUGAGUUGGGCAUGUUGUUUCAAGUCAAUCUAAAAUUGUGUCGUUUUAAUUUUUUUAAUGUUAAAAUAAUAUCAUUUUAAUUUUUUCAUAUAUAUAUAUAAAAAAAGAAUAUUAAACUGGGUUUUGACUAGUGUGACUAAAUCAUUCAGGUUUAACCAAGUCAACUCCCAAUUGGGUUUUUUUAAAACUCGAUUUAGAUUAAGUACUGAGUUGAUAUACUGAUCGAGGUUAUAUUUAAUAACAUUAGUUAAAAUUGGAUGAUAAUGCAUUGAUAAGAUAAAUUUAUCAUCCAACUUUUUAAGAUCGUCAUCUCUUGAACCUUUUUGUCUUUCCUGGAAUAAAUUUAUUGAACAGUUCCCUGGUCAAAUAACCUAUGUUCACAAAAUCAACUUUUUAUUAAUCAAAUAUUUUCAUUUAUAAAUGCUAACAGAAUCAAUCUUAUUUGUCUUACCUUGAACCUAAGAUCUUGACUUGAAAAAAUAUGUCUCUUGCCCAAAGAAAUUAUGCCUGAUAACAUUUCACGUUGGACCUAAGAUCUUGAAUCUAAUACAUCUCUUGUUUAGAGAAAUUACUAUGCCAGUUACUAUUACUUAAAUCUAAUAGGAGGAAAACUUAUAUGCAAAGGCUUUAAGAGAUAGAUAGUCCUUUUGUGGAUACAUAAUUAGAAAUUGGGUAUUUUGACAUUUUCCCUUAUAAUCUGGUGAGUAAUAGGUCGGGGGCAUGCCACUAUUGUGCCUGAAAGAUAAGUGAUAACUAGCAAAAGUAUCCAAAAUAUUAUUGGAAGAUGGUAUAUAAGAAAUUACCUUAGGAAUAUCCUCAUGAAAAGGAUUUUCAUUGUCAGACGCUUCAAGAGAAGGGGUUUUACUACAUGUUUGAGGUGCGAUUUUCUUAUCUUCCUCAGCUAUUACCUUAUUGAUGUCUAGCAUUGUUGCUGCAGCAACUUCCUUUAGAUUAAUGCCUUCUGCAAUGUCUUCAAGUGUUACAGUUGGAGCUAUUUUUGGUGAUAUUCUGAUGGCACCAUCUGUCAGGCUUUUUGCACCAUUCCUAGUAGCCAUGUUUAAAGUUGUCUCUACCACGUGUGGAGUUGCUUUUGCCAUAUUUAGAGUUGUUUGUGUUUUUAUUACAACAAUAUUUUCUCUAGUGUUUUGAGCUAUCUAUGUUUCUGCCACGUCUUGAACACCACUUAUUGUCUUUGUUUUUGUAAUCUUUUGAACGUCUUGAGCACCAUCUGUCGUGUUCCACCACUUUUGCUCUCCAUCUCAUGUCUCCCCCUGAAAAGAAGAAGUUGAUAUUUUUUAAGAGUAAAAAUUCUUUGACUCUAGAAAAAUGACAUCCAUUAUAGUAUGGAGCUGUUUUUUAUAGGAUCAUAGCAACAAAAUCCUUUUUUAUUUGUACCAUACCCUAGAAACACACAGCAAACAACACAGAGUUCAGGUUUUAUUCAUUUAUUUUUAUGUAGAUGAACAAAUGCAACACAAUCGAACACACGCAGUGGAAUAAGAAGUAUGGACAAUAGAGUAACAUGUUGUGACAAAACUUGUAGUGGAGUCUUGAAUUCCAAAGCUUUAGAAGGCAUGCGAUUCAACAAAUAAACAGUAGUGGCAACACUAUCAUCCCACUUUUGACCUGGUACUUGUGCUCUAAAUAACAAUACACAUGCAGUUUCUAGAAUAUGUUGGUUUUUUUGUUUAACCACUCUAUUUUGUUAUGGAGUUUGACUACAUGACAAUUCAUGGAGAAUACCAUUUCUUUAAGAAAAAAUGAUGAGAAAUCAUUAUUCACAUACUCUCCCCAAUUAUCACAUCGAAAAAUCUAGAAAUUUGUUUUAUUGAAAAUUGGUUAUGAAUCAUAGCAUGGAAUGUAUGAAACACAUCAAAUACUUUGUCUUUGUGUUUUAGCAAAUAUAGUUGUGUCAUCCUAGUACAAUCAUCCAUAAAGGUUACAAACCAACGUCUUCAAACACAGUUAUAAUAGGAGAUGGUCCCCAAACAUCAUAAUAAACUAAGGCAAAAGAGAUAUCACUUUUAUUAAAAUUGAUUGGAAAAAAUACACAAUGACUCUUGGCUAAAAUGCAAGUUUCACAUCUAAAGCUUGAAUAAUUUGAAUUCAAAAGUAAUUUUGUAAGCAAAUGCUUCAUAAAGUUAAAAGAUGGAUGCCCAAAUCAAUAAUGUCAAAGCCAAAUUUGUUUUUCUUUUGCAAUUAUUGAACAACUAAUAGUGUUGACUUUACCUGGACUAAAGUUAUCUAUGUAGUAUAACCCCUCUCUCUUAGUACCAUGCCCAAUGAUCUUCUUCGUGAGAAUAUCCUGGAAAAAAAUUUGGAUACAUUAGUACAACACAGUUUAGUUCUUCGGUAACUUGACCUAUAAACAACAACUUAUUUGAAAGAGAAUGCACUAAUAAAGUGUUAGUCAAUUAUAUGAAAUGUGACAUAUGCAUUAUUCCAACCCCUAUAACAGGAUAUUCAAAAUGUUAGCAUUGGUUAUACUGGUCCACCUUGGUUUCGUAGUAUUGACAAAGUUUUUUGGACAUAAAAUCAUGUGAUUUGUUGUAUCAGAGUUCAUUAUCCGGUCAUUAUUAUAUUUCUUAAAAGCAAGUAAUGCACGGCUAGUAUAAUAGCAGUUAUUACCUUGAUCUUUAGAAUGAAUUAUGACAUCAUUUUUUAAAUCUACAAGCAAAGCUAAUGACAGUUGGGGCCUUGUGUCUGCCAAUGUUGAUUGCCAUGUGCUACCAGUAACUACCUAUUACUUUCGUGCCUUCAACUCAUUCCACCAUUCUAGGUAACCAUGCAAUUUGAAGCAUGUGUCUCGUAUAUGCUUUAUAUUUUCAUAAUGAGAACAAUCGUUGUCUUCACUCUCCACUUGUCCUUUAGUUUUAGCUAAAUUAUAUAUGUUACAUCCUCUUGAUAAAGAUGUCUCGUAUUUAGCCUUCUAAAGUGCUUGUUGUCAUUUCCCUCCUCUAAAAACCAUGGGUGCAGUAGUAAGAUUCCUAUUAUUUAUGAGCAUAAUUGUAUGUUUGAUGUCUUCUCUUCAAACAUGGGUAUAAGCCUAUUCAACUAUUGGAAAUGAGUUCAAUUGAAGUACAUCACUCCUUAUCUUACCGAGCAUGUCAUCUAGUCCAUCCAAAAAAGUAUAAACUUGAUCAUCUUGAAGGAAAGCAUUAUACUUUUGUAUGUCACUAGCACAUUCUAUAAGAUUUGGUUUACAAAAAUCAAUUUCCUUCCAUAAGCCUUAAAGACAAUUGUAGUGUGAUUCUAAGGAUUCUCUUGAUUGUUUUAUUCAUGUUACUUGUCUAUUCAAAUCAUACACCUAAGAUGUAUCGAAUCCAUCAAAGUAAGUAGUAGUGAUUAAAUCCCAUACUUGUUUAGUAGUUGGGAAUCAAAUAAAGUUUUUUAUGAGAGAGGGAUUCGUUAAGUCGAUUAGCCAUCCCUUCACAAUAGAGUUUUAUGUUUUUCAUCUUUUAAAGUUGGGAUCUUUUGGUUCUGGUUGCAGAAGGUCAUCAUUUAUGUAUCCCAAAUGUCUUUUUCUAAGAUAUUCAUCUCCACAAUUUGGAACCAUAAAGCAUAAUGAGUGGCAUUAAGUUUGAUACCAAUCUGUACAGGUGCACUAUCAUAGAUUAUUGUUGGGGUUUAGGCCUGGUUCUGCAUGAUCCAUUCUUAACGUGAGAUUGUCAAAAUUUAUAGCUGUAUUCGGUUGCUUUUGUUCAAUCAAGUUAGUUGAUGUUGGUGCAUCCAUUGCCUUAGUUUCUCUAAGGUUGUUAGUAGUCAUUCAAGAUGCAAAGAAUGGAUCUCUACUCCGAUACCAUGUUAAAUCAGAGAGAAAUUCUUGUACAAAAUGUGAUUAUAUCACUCCUUUUUUCUGUUACAAAAUAGUGUUUUAUAUAUACAAGCAACCCUUCCUAAGAUAACUAUGACAAUAAAAUAAAUCUAAUUAAUCCCAUAACUAUCAGGAUGUAUACAAUCACGAGAUAAUGAAAUUCAUCCCUAAUGUUUUGAUUCUGCAGCUCACGCUAAGAGGAACCAUGAUAUUUUUGUCAUAAAUUUUGAUAAUAGGGUUAAUUUGAUCAUAUUUGAUACAUCGAGGACCAAACUUAAAAUAGUUUUGUUUAGAAACCCGACAGAGAUUCACAAAACAGCCAAAGAACAAAUACGUUUGUUGUCUUUGCUAAAAUCAUCAUUGAUGUGCUGAUAUUAAAAAUAAAUUUUAAAAAAUAUUAUUUUAAUAUAUUUAUAAAUAAAAGAUAUUUUUAAGAACAAUCUUGAGUUACGAAAGGCACUAAAUGAUAAACAUGGUAGGUGAUCAAUCAUGAAACCAGUCUUCUCAAAACUCUCAAUAGAAUUACAUACUAUGCCAUUAUCACGAGCUUUGUCAAGGCCCUUCAGGACAGAGCAAGAAAUGGUUGCUAUUUUCUCAUAAUGCUGAAUGGAAAAUCGAGUCACGGAAAGAUUCUAUAAACUCCAAAACUAGUAACAUGGUAAAACAAAAUCAUGAGCGGCUAACGCGUGAAAGAGAGAGUGACAUCUCGCCAAUCACGAGGAGACACGUAUCCAUCAGAAAUCGCGUACGUGCCUCUAUCCCAAUUUUCAAGCUGCCUUUCACUAAAAGAGUCAAAGCUCCCUUGACUCUUACCCAUUAAUCUAACACUUAAACACUUCUCUGCUCGUGUUGGACAAAUUAAUUUUUUUAAAAAAAUUAUUUGAAAUGUGGGGCCUAUCAAUGACAUCAAGGGUUUUUGGUAUUAUCUCUUUGAGAAGAGAAUAUAAAUUGGUUGAUCCAUUGUGCCCACUAGAAAUCCAUUUCUUGGAAAAAUAAUGCCAUACAACCUUAUACGCGCAGUGGUAUUUUUAGAGCUUCUGUGGGUUCUAUACAGCUGCAUUAGGGCCUAUAAAUUCCCCCAUUAUUCACUCCACUUCCCACGGCCCAUCUCCCUUCUCUUCCUCUUCGUCCUUUGACUUUGUUUUCUCGAAUAUCCCCUGCCUUUACAGCUGAGAUAAUGCACAAGUAGUCUAGUAUACUGUCGAUGUAAUUUUCCCUCUCGUGUGUGUGUGAUUUUUUGGUGGGUUAUGGCCUAAUGGGUAGGCUUUGAAACCCGAGUUGCUGGCAGUAUGAUUAAUUGUCUUUUCGACUAUGCACUUGAGAGUUAAUAAGACUUGUAACUCAGCCGACCGGAGUCUUGACUCCUUGAGUGUCAAUGCUCAGGAACCAGGAACCACAAACCCAGAGACAAACUUUUAAAAUUAAAAAAUAUAUAUAUUGUUUAAUUGUUACCCCCAUUAAAUAGUACACUCUCUCUCUCUCUCCCUCCCUCCCUCUGUAAAGUUUAGGGUCCUUUUAUAUAUAUUUCAUCAAUUCACAACCCUACAAACCCACCAACAUUCUCACUCUUCUCUCUUAAAAAAAUGCAUAUUCUUCACCCCAUUACCCUUCUUCUCUCCCUUUCCUUCGUCUCAUUGCUCAAUGUAAGUAAGCCUAUCCUCUACGCCCGCGUCCUCCUGACUGCUGCUUUCAGUCUUGUUCUCUCUUGUCUGUUUUAUGUUUUUGCUGCGUGAUUCUCAUACAAAUUAUUGGUUAAAACUUGCUGUUUAUUUCUCAAAUCACAAUGCAUUGCAGGUGAAUCAUGCAGCAGUUGGCAGUGGAGAUUCGCCAAACGGUGAGAGCCCAUUUACGCCCAAGGCAUCUCUAGUUCGGUACUGGAACAAGGAGAUCCACACGGUUUUACCAAAAUCUGGUUUUUUCAUCUCCAAAGCCUCCCCGUUGAGUCCUGUCGAUUUGGCAACAUUUGCUAAACUCGCCUCCCAAAAUGCUCUCUCCGCUCAACUCCCAGCCUUUUGUUCCUCUGCCGAACUCUUCUGCUUCCCUGAUUUGUCUCCCAGUCUUGAAAAGCAUGACCAUGACUCCCAUUUCGCUAUCUAUAACAACAAGAAUUUCAGCAAUUACGGCACUGAUCGAGCCGGUGGAGCGGACUCUUUCAAGAACUAUUCCGAUGGUGACAAUAUCCCGGUCGACUCGUUCCGCCGGUACGGCCGCGACGCCGCCGGUCACGGCGAGUUGUUUUCCAGUUAUGCCCCUGACUCCAACGUUGUUGACCAGAGCUUUAACACCUAUGGCGCUGGUGCGACUGGCGGCGCUGGAGAGUUCAAGGGGUACAAUGUGGAGGUAAACAACCCAAAUCUUCGCUUUGUUUCCUAUUCUGAUAGUGCUAAUGGGAAGGGCCAGAAGUUCUCGACUUACACAGAGAAUGCGAAUGCUGGACCGGGUCAAGCUUUCACCAGUUAUGGGAAGAACGGGAAUGGAGCUCCCAAUGAGUUCUCUGGUUAUGGGACGAGCUCGAAUGUGGUUGGUUCAGAUUUCACCAACUAUGGUGAGACUGCCAAUGGGGCUAAUGAUACUUUCAAGUCUUACGGAGUUGAUGGGAAUGUUCCACAGAAUAAUUUCGUGAACUAUGGCGAUGGUGGGAAUGCUGGUGUUGAUAGCUUCGCCACUUACAGGGAAAAAUCAAAUGUUGGGGAUGAUUCCUUUCAAACUUAUGCCAAGAAUUCGAAUGCAGAGAAAGCCAAUUUCGCCAAUUAUGGAAAAUCCUUCAAUGAAGGGACUGAUAAGUUCUCUGGCUAUGGGAAUGGAGCAAUGGGGCAGCAGAUUGGGUUCAAGAUCUACGGAGUAAACACCACUUUCAAAGACUAUGCCAAUAAGAAGGGUGUCACUUUUGCUGGGUACACUAGCGCAAGCACUGCCGAUGCUUCAAUGAAGGUAAACAGUGACAGUGUGGUAAAAAACAAUAAGUGGAUAGAGCCCGGAAAAUUCUUCCGGGAGUCGAUGUUGAAAAAGGGAAGUGUGAUGCCAAUGCCGGACAUUCGAGACAAAAUGCCCAAAAGAUCCUUUCUGCCUCGCUCCAUCAUCUCCAAACUACCCUUUUCCACCUCCAAAAUUGAUCAGCUAAAGGAGAUUUUUCAUGCUAGUGAUAAUUCAAGCAUGGAGAGGAUCAUUUUGGAUGCUCUUGAAGAGUGUGAGAGAUCACCCAGCCCUGGCGAGACCAAGCGCUGUGCGGGCUCGGCCGAGGACAUGAUCGAUUUUGCAACCUCUGUGUUAGGCCGCAACGUGGCUGUCCGUACGACGGAUAACGUGAAUGGGUCGAAGAAAAACAUCAUGAUUGGAUCGAUCAAAGGGAUCAACGGUGGGAGAGUGACCAGGUCAGUCUCUUGUCACCAGACCCUCUAUCCUUACCUGCUCUAUUACUGCCACUCUGUUCCCAAAGUUCGGGUCUACGAAGCCGAUCUUUUGGAUCCAAAUAGCAAGGCCACGAUAAAUCAUGGUGUUGCCAUCUGCCACUUGGAUACAUCUUCCUGGAGCCCCACCCAUGGAGCCUUUUUGGCCCUGGGUUCGGGUCCGGGCCGGAUUGAGGUCUGUCACUGGAUUUUUGAGAAUGAUAUGACAUGGACCAUUGCCGAAGCCUAAUUUAAUUAAUUAAGCAAAUGUUUUUUUUUCUCUCUCUAAUUUGGGUUGGAACCGUUUGCUAAGAUAACUUAGCUGCUGGCUCCACCCUAAAAGUUGGUCGAAUUGGUCUAUUUAUUUCUUAUGGCUUACUUCUUUUUAUCUUUAUGAGUGAAAUUAUUACUAUGUUUUGCAGUUUUUUUGGAAGAUGUUUAUUAUAAUUAUUGUCAAUUAUACAUUAAAUCUUGCACCAAAUGUUUAAUUUCUUACUCAUAACCCUUGCAAUUUAUCCCACUCCUAAAAAUAUCCUUUAUUUUUUAAAAAAAAAAUAUGGCUAAUAAUAAAUGAAAUAUCAUAGACCAUGCUUGUUUGAUAACAAUUACGGUAUAAUCUAUAUUUUUAUUAAAAGCAUCAAAACAAUAUUUUUAAAUAAAAAACAUCGAUUACUCCACAACCAAGUUCUUAAAUGUUAUGGUCAUGUUUGUUUUUUGCGUUUUAAUAAUAUUUUUAAAAAAAAUUAAAUUUACUUCACAUUAAUAUUUUUUUAGUAUUUUUAGAUUAUUUUGAUGCGAUGAUACCAGAAAUGAUUUUUAAAAACUAAAAAAAUAUUAUUUUAAUAUAUUUUUAAGUGAAAAGCAAUCGUCACUACACUUCUAAACACGCUUAUACUCUACGCCUACUAAAUUCUUUUUCCAACCCUAACAACUCAGAACUCUAAGAGGUUUUGAUUAUUAAUUUUUGUAUAAUCUUCACGGAUGAUAAUAGAAAAACCACUUUCAAAAUUAAGUGCUUCAUUACAGAUUUAUAUGAUUUUUUUAUUUAAAAGUGGUUACCAAACUAUAUAUCCACAUAUUUAAUCCCUAGAAGUACAAGACAAAAGCUAAAGCCUAACUAUAUAGCAGUUAGCAAGCAAUAUGUGUAUCCACAUAUUUAUUGGAUAAUGCGGCAAAAUGUGGCUACAGGAAAAAAGAUGAGGUGGUCCUUGGACCAUCCAAUUUGUGGUAACAUUAUUCAGCCCGGACAAACAUCUUUCGGCACUAUUGCAUUUUUUUUUAAUUUAAAAUUAUAUUGAAAUAUUUUUUUUAUUUUUUAAAUUUUAUUUUUAUAUCAUCAUAUCAAAACAAUUUAAAAAUAUCUAAAAAUUAAUUUUAAAAAAAAUCAAAAACAAUCUUGAAAUGUAAAAAGAAACUGUAUGCUAUAAAUGCAAAGGCGCAUUAUAAAUGGUCUCCAGCGAGCAAUGGACGCGCAGAUUUUUGACAGAUUUUACUGGUAAUUGUUGGGUGCACAAACUUUCAUGACAUAACUGUGUUAUUUAAUAAAAUAAUACAAUCAAUCACUCACAGGAUAGGCAUGUGGAUUCAGAACAGCUCAGUAUUUGUGGUUGGCCAUAGCACCUAAAUCCAGCCAAGAUAAGAUAAUUUUAAGUUUAAUUAUUAUAAUAAAUGUCGGCACUGUAUUUAUCAAAGCUAUAAAACUACCCGGUCUAUUCGAGUCAAGGCUAGUGUCACUGUUCGGAAAAGUUAACCCCUCAAAUUAAUUUCUUAAAUAGAUAGGUUAAACGACGAAGUUUUGUAAAGAAUCAUUCAAAACAAGAAUCAACGGUUUAUUGAUCAGCUUUUAAUCUAGGUUACAAGUUAAUUCAUAUUUUUUAAUCAAUUUAAAUGAAUUUUUGUUUUUUUUUUAAUUCAGACCGGAAUAUUUUCCCUCCAUACAUUGUGGACUGAGACUAAUGGGCAUUGUAUUUUAAUUAUUAAGAUUCAUAUUUGUAUAAUUUAAAUUUUUAUGUUUAAUUUACAAGUAAAUUUCUUUCGCACAAGAAUAUAAUUUUUUAGCUGGAAAUAUGCCUAUUUUGCUAUAGAUAACUAGAUGUUAGUUAAUGUAAAUCUUUUUUAGUUUAACGUGGGUGUCCAGGCCAGUUUGCGCGCACCCCGACUAAUCCCACGGGCCCUGAAGUUAACGACCAUGUAAGCCUCCAGUGGCCAUCAUAUGAGCAACCACGAAGCUCGAACCUGAGACCACAGAGGGAGCAAACUUUCUGGUCCCAAGCUCUUACCAUUGGACCACCACCUAGAUGGUUUAGUUAAUGUAAAUCUUGAUGCAACCAAUGACCAAGUCUCUAUGUUAAACUUUUGGAUUGCUAUGUAAUGAAAUUGAUCUCGUGAACUCCACUUGGUAAUUAUUCUAUAUCUUGUGGUGAGGGGUAAUAAUUCAUGUUUCUUACACUUUACUUUAUUAUUCAUUUUAGUUAAUAUUAGAUAAUGUAUCUUGCUUCCUAUGAAUUGGAAAUUCUUUAAUGUGUUUAAUCUUGAAUGGAUAUUAUAAUUACCUUAAAGUUGUUCUUAUAUCAUGAAUAAAUAUUCACAUGGUUGUGUUGUGGUUUGCUUUUAACAUAUAAAUAUAAGAAAGGGAAAUAGAAUUUGCAAAAAGAAGUAGUGUGACUUGUGUUAAUGUUGUGAUGAUAAUGAUUUAGGGUAAUUGAAUUGAGUUUGAGAAAUAAUUUUCUUGAAAUGUGUAGGAUUAGUCGAUAACUCGGGAUGUUAUAAAUAUAGAAGAAACUUUGUCAAAAUUUUAAUAGAAUAAAAAAAUCAAAAUCAAUUAGUUUUUAAUUAAUACUAAAUUGUUUGAAAAAAAAAAUAAAGAUAAAAUUAAAAAAACAUAAAAUUUUAUAUAAUCCAUCCAUAAUAAUACGGAGAUGAUGAAUAAUGAAGUCUUGCACAGUAAAAGCUAUGUUUCUAGAGUAAUAGUUAAUUUUACAUGCAGGGUCUGAAUUAAAAAAUCUCAAUUUAGUACCAAAUUUAUGACCCUAUCAACAAUUAAGUACUGCUAAGUCUUCCAAAGAAUUUAACAUUAAAAAACAGACGUGUUUAUGAGAAAUUAGCAUUAUUAAAUUAAUGGCCCAACAAAUUGGACAAAAUUGAUAUGACCUUCUAACCAAAUUGAAAAAAGAAAAGAAAAAAAAUCAUUAAAUAAUUGAGCUUCAGUGCGUGACAACUAAGAUAAAAUUCCCGCCAUAGAUCGUUUGGUGGGGGAGUAGAGACGCGGUGAAGAAAUGGGAUGAUGCCUUCCCGAGAUAGUGCCAUCCUUGUUCCCGCUCUUCUUCGCCAUUAAUGCCUCUUGCUUGCUAGCUCGGAGUCCAAGCUUCCUAUUGCUCCUUCUCUUCGCAAACUUUGACCAAAAUUAUUCAGAAACAUUAUUGCUAUCAUUUAAUAUUUAGGAGCUGCAGUUUCAUAUUCAAUUACUGACUGAGAGGGCUGAGAUAAAAUAACAUAAUCCAAUUGUAUAAUCCUGGAGGCUGGAGGCUGAACAUAUAUUUUAUUAUCUCAUCAAUUGAGCACUGCUAGGUACGCUCUCGAAGCUGAUUUGCGCAUGCGUAUAUUCAACCACUGCGCUCCAUGUCCAUGUCCGGAGGUAGCAGCUCCAUCUCUGGCGCGCGCAAGAUCUUCUAAUAAGAUAAAAACUUUGACCUUCUGGUGGCAUGACUGGCUAUUUGUUGACUCGUGUUUUGUUGCGGUUGAGAUGUAUUUUUAUCAAAGAGAUUAUAUGUGUGAUUAAAUAAAUUAAGAAUUAUAUAUAAAAUUACAUGACAUGUUUAUACAUACAUAUAAUUAAAUAAAUCAAGAAUUAUAUGUAUUAAUAAAAAAAAAUCAUUAAUGACAGAUGAAGAAGAAAACGGGAAAAUUAAUAAACAUAUAUAGAUAAAGAUAUUUGAUUCUGCAACACAUGAUUUUGACCUGUGUUUAAUGAUUUUGUUUAUCAAAAUCAGAUUUCUAUUUAACCAAACGAUAAUAUUAAUAGACACAUGUGAAAUUGAUUGAAUCAAAUAAAAAUGAUAUUUUGUAAGGUUAUACAUAUUAAAAAUAUUAUAAAAAAUAAGCAUUUUCUAUUCAUAUAAAACAUAAAAAUAAAAAAAUUAUAGAUGAAUUAGAAUAAUUAAAUGCAUACAAAAUAAUUAAAAAAUAACCGAUAUUUAAAAAUAUCUAAAUAAACAAAAUAAAAGAGAUAAGAGUUAUUAAGUUAAAUCUAAAUUAAGAACUUAUUUUGAAAAAAAGACAUAAAAAAUAGAAAAAAAAAAAAGGUUGUGCACCGUUAAGCUAGGAAAGCCAGGCCAAUGCACUUGGACCCUAUAUUUUUUUGUUGGCAGAUGAGGUGGACGCCAUGUCAUUUAUCUCAAUUUUUUUAAAAAAAAUAUUCAAACGAAGUGUCGUCUGGUUGUGCUUAGAUUCCAACCAUUAUAAUAGCUGAAAAAUCAUGGCUGAAAUUUUGUUUGAUCUAAAAAUGCAUUUUAACCGAAUACACUUAAAAACACCCUAGAAACGUUGUUAAAUUAAUUUAUGGCCUCAAAAAACCCCAAACCCUCCCCAAACCCGAAAUCAACCAUAAACCAAAAAUCUUUCCCAGUUCGGAUAUGUUUUUCUAGGCACUUUCAUUGUAAAACAAUACCUAAAUGGAACUCUCCUCAUCAUAUGAAACCAUUUGACAUGAAGAUCAACUGUUUUAGUAGCCAAAAUCGAUGUCAAUGUUAUUUUUCUCUCUCUACUACUAAAACCCAAUGACUUUCUCCCUCCCUUUUCAAACUAGGAAAAAAAAGAAAAUAAAGUUCUUGACCAAAAUUGAUUUUUUUAAAACUUCAAAAAUUAGAGGAACCCAAUUCUUAUAAAUAGUAAAGAAUAAGGACUAAGGUGAACAUUUUGCAAAAAAAAAAAUUCUAAAACACCACCUAUCUUCCUCGCGUGUAUUAUUUUAGUCCUCUGUCUUUUAAUUUUGUCAUUAGUUAAAAAUUUUAGCCAAAUUAGCCUCCAAUCAAGCCCUUAUUAAUACUAAUAUCAACAUAACCCUGUUGAUAUUUUUAGCUUCCAUAAUCUGGAAGAAAUCAUAACAUCAUAUAAUGUUGAUAUCAACAUAAUUCAUGUUGAUAUCAUUAGCCUCCAAGUUCUAGUAGGCUAAUCAAGUUCUAUUUUAAAUUUCCUUUAUAUUCCUUUCUUUUUCUAAAAUAACUGGAAACAAUUAUAAUUCACAUAUACACACACACACCACGACUUUCAUAGAACAUACCCAACUUAUUUUCAUUUCUCACUUUUAAUAAUGAGAAAUAAAUCGAGAAGAAAUCCUAUAUAUUUGGCGUGCUGAUGCUAAAUCUCUCGUGCCUUGAGAUCUGACCAGAACAAUAUCUCCUAUCAUAAGCCAAAUAUUACAUUAUUACCUUCCAUGAAACUUGAACCCAUAUAACACCCUACUCAAUCAUUUAUAUAUAAUUAUCAUAUUUUGAUGCUAAACAUACAUAUAACAAUUAUUACUUUAUUUUCCAUGUUACGAACCGGUUCGACUGACUUUUACAUAAGAUCUCAAGAAUGUAUCUUAUUUUCAAAACAUCCAUCUCAUUAUAAUUAUUCAUUACAUAUAUAUUUUAUCACAAUAACACCAAAUCAAUUAAAAAUUACCUAUUUUAUUUUAAUGGCCUUUAGGCCGAGACUUAAUAUAUAUAUAAAACAUAAGUUCUUUAUUGUUUUUUUCCUUUAAAUUUUAUAGGAACUCAUAACUAUAAGAAUCAACAAGAUCUCACAUAUCCUAUAAAUAAUCAAUUUGAAAAAAAUACUCCUCCCCUUCCUUGUUACCUCUAGGCCGGCACCAACACUAAGGAAAAAGGGGUAAUUAUUUUUCUUAAUUGCUUCAAUUCUCACGUGUCCCAGCAUUUAUUUAUGCUUAUCAACAUGAUUUCAAUGUAAAUUAAAUAAUUGAAGCAAUAAUUUUUCAAAUCACUAAUUCUCUCCAUGAAACAAUCAUGCUUAACUACUAAACACACUCAAUUUAAAUCAAUCGAUUAAAAAACAAGGGUUAUUACCAUAUAAUAUGAAGGAUUCAAGAAUAAAAAUGAGAAUAAAUGCUUGAUUUCUUCUCUCCCUGCCUUUUCCCUUCACUUUCCCCUGAUUUUCCUUCUUCUCGUAAGCUUUAAACUCUCUAAAUUAGUGUAAAUAAUCUUCGUAGGUCUUCCAACACUCCCCCCUAUCAAUCCUUUAUUCAAGAACUUUUGUGUGAUUUAUGAGAAUUGUUUUUGCAUGAGAUAAUUGAGUUUUUCUCUCCCUCACUUUAUCCAAGUGACCUUUUAUACGGUGUAGGAAAUACACACAAUUAUCACAAUACCCUUUUAAAAAAAAUUUGGUUGUUUUUUGUUUUAUCGGGUACCCUUUUUUCGGUCUGUUUUUUAUUACUACCUAUAACCAAAUUAACACUUAAAUUUAAUUAUAAACAACACUUCUAUAUUAUUUUUUUCUAUCUCUAUUUUUAUUUAUUUAUUUAAUUUUAGGGUCCAUGCAAAUAGUGUUUUGCAUUGUGAUAGAUUUUACAAUUAUAAUUAUAAUUUUUUUAUAUAAAUUAUAGUAUUUUUAAGAAAAGUUUUUAGUAUAAUUCAUAUAAAAUUGUUGUAUAUAUUAAUUAAUUAAAUAUUUUUAAAUGCAUAAUUAAAAUAAAAACACAAAUAUUACCGUUACGCAUCACAGAAAUAUAUGCAGCGCAAUUGAGAAUGUUUAAAUAAAAUUCAUGUUACAAACACAAGUAAUAUUCAACGUCCCGUGGUCGAUGCAGCAAAACUGACUUCCAUCCCUACGCUCAAUGCCAAAUGUAUAGGUAAGAGAACUGAAAUCAUCCAAAAUGACUUUUGGGUUCCGGAAUAAUGAUUCAGUAUAUUUUUUUUAAAAAAAUAUAUUAAAAUAAUUUAAAUUUUUUUUUAAAAAUUAAAAUUUAUUUUUAACAUCAACCUAUUACAUAUUAAACAAUUUAAAAAUACAUAAUAAAAAUUAAUUUAAUUUUUUUAAAAAAAUAUUAGCAAAACAAUAAAUCAACCACCACACAAAAAAAUGUUUUGAAUUAACAAUAAAUUUAUUUUAAUUGAAUACUUUUACAGAACGUUGUCCAACUCAAGGGAAAACGACGUUCGAGUAGAUGAAAAAUUGCAAUAUCACAUGCGAACAGUAUUAAUCUUUUCUAUUGACCUCCUCGCUGAAUUUAGAUGUUGAUCCUUUCCGGCCUCCUGGUUUAAGCCCUUUGCUCUUGUUUUUUUUAAAAGAUUAAUGUAAUGUUUAUUUGCUGAAAAAUAGUUUUUUUAAAAAGUAAAUUUAAAAAAACAAGUUCUAAAAAGUAAAUUAUUUUUCGAUGUUUGGUAGUGUAAUGAAAAAUAAAUUGGAAAAUACUUUCCAGUAUUUGGUUAUGUCAUGAAAAAUAAACUGGAAAAUAACUUAUUAAUGUUUUAUUUUUUUUAAGUUUAUAAUAAGGAACAAAUCUUACAAAUUAAAAAGUUGAAUGAGAAUGAAAUUGAAAAAAAAUAUAAUUUCAUAAAUUAUCUCAAAUAAAAUAAAUAAUAAUCAAAAUAAUAAAGAUCAAAUCUAAAAAAUAAAAAAAUUGAAAGAUGAAGAAAUUAAAAUAAUAAUAAUUAACAUUUCAUAAAUUAUUUCAAAUAAAAUAAGUAACAAUCAAAAGAACAAGGAUCAAAUUUGAUAGAUAAAAAAUUUCAAUUAAAAAAUAAUAAGGGAAAAGCAAAUAACAAUUAUAAAAAUAAGAACCAAAAUUAAUAUAAAAAAUUAUUUUCUAAUGGAUGAAAUUGAAAAACAAAUAUUCGAAACAAAAUAUAUAUAACAAUCAAAAGUUUGAGGACCAAAUUUGAUAUAAUCGGCAAAUAAUAUGACAUUUCUAAAUUUUUCAUAACUUUCAGAAAGUGUUUUCCGUCAAAAAUAAAAGGAAAACACUUUCCUGAAAACCAAAUCAAAUUUUUUUUACUGGAAAAUGUUUUUUGUUGACUGGAAAGUGUUUUUUGUUGACCAACUUUUCUAAUAACAAAAAAAUUUAAAAAAUAAUUUUUCAAAAAUCACUUUUCAAAAAAUAAACACAAUCUAAAACUAAACCUAUUCUAAAUUCAAACAGGUCAACAUAAAUCAAAAAAAUUACUUAGUUUUAAUAAAAGAAUUUUUUUUUUUGUUUUGGUACCAUGAUAUUUUCCGGCCCUUUCCAGAUUAGAAGACUAAUCCCUAUUGUGCCAUUGUCAGACACUUUAAAGGAGAUUCCACUACCAAAUACCAAUAAAGAUUCAAAUCGUGUUCGGCUCACGAGAAGAACCAGCUCCUUACCGCUAGAGCCCGCCCUUAUUGGUUAAUAAAAAUAGUUGACAUGAUAAUCUAGACCUUUUCAAACUUGUUCCACUGUUACUGGACUUUCUAAAAAUUUCUUAACUUUUUUUUCUAGCUAAUUUUUUUCCAGAGAUAAGCGUGAUGGCUGCUCAUGCACAUAUCUUUUUCCUUUGGCGGGCUGGAUAGAGGUUUGACUUAAUGGAGCCCAUUGUCAAUGGGCCAUUGACAUCUCCAAGUAGAAACCCUAACUCGUUAUUCCCAAAAACCUUGCUGAAUCCUUAAACCUUUCCAUAAUCCCAUCGACGUGAAAAUGGAGAUGUCUUGUGUUUGUGGACGAGACGCCUGCAUUCCAACUCGUUUAAUUUAAUUUAUUUUAAUGAUUUUAAAUUUCUAUGCAGUUUUAUUUCUCAUGAAGCUGCUGGUUAAGGCACUUUUUUCCCUUUAUUAGUGAAUUUGGGCUUUCUAGAGCUUAGUUGCUUAAUAAAAACUUAAUUAACCAACGAUAAAUUGCUCUCCGUGAUGGCUAAUCGUUCUAAAUAAUGUGACUGGAGCUGUUUGAAUUUAUUUUGUUUCUUCCUUUCAUUCUCUAUGACAAUUUGAGGGUAAGCAGCCAGCACUAGUUGCUUCACUUUCCUAUAGGAGAGGAAGGUGCGAAUAUUAAAGCUUUCAGAUUUUCUGGAAAUCAAGGAUUUCUUAUUUGUUAUGGUGGGAUAUGCUCCAACAGAAAUGGGUUCAGUCUUAUGGAUUCAGACCUGGUCAGGCCAAAGCACACGACACUGCUUUGCGCUUACAAUACAACAGCCAAUUACCAAACACUACUCUUCCUUGGGUGCUUUCGUCUCACAGUUCAGCACAGACAACGCAGUAGCUAAAGCACAACAUAAGGCAACAGUACAGACCCUUAAUAAGCACAUUAAUGUUGACAAUGAUUUUGAAUGUUUAGAGCAGUUUGUUGACUCUCUAUUUGUUUCACUGCUGAGCUUCUUGUCCUGAUUUGGGAAAAUGCCUAGUCUUAUAAAUUCUAUAUUUGUUAACCUUUUGUAGGUUUGAGGUUUGAAGUUUGAACAAAGAUUUUGUGAAAAUGUUAGGCCACCAUGCCAAAUUCAAGGCAUUAUCUUUAGAAAAUAUUCUUACAGCAUCUGAUGGAACUAGGAAGGUAUCCAUAAUCUAAAGCGAUUGUAUUCAUUCUCUCUUAGUUAGAAUCUGUUUAAUUUGUCUUUCUACCUCUUUAUCCUACUUUUAUGUCGCUUAUUUUAUGGUUUGAAAACUUAAAUCAGCAUGUAUGCUUUAGGCAGUUGUCCUGCUAUGAGAAUCUUCUCUUGAUUUUGAAACUCAAGGGGAAUUACAGAUUUUAUUUAGGUUGGAUUAGGGGUAGGCAACGAUUUGUGUUCCAAGUCAAGUGGAUUGUGCCAUGAAUUGUCAGUUCUGCUACACACGCAGGCAAGUUAAUAUCUUCCUUAUUGGGACUUUGUGUUAAAAGAAUUCACGUUCGUCACUAAGAAUAUGCAUUUUCAUGUUACAUGAAUCUGAUUUUUCAGGAUGGGUGAAGAGACAUCUGUCCACAGCUGGGAUAGUAGAGCGGGCUGUAUUUGCACAACAUCUCCUCACAAAUGAAGUUUGUGAAAGCUUUUCCUCAUAGUUUUGACAAAAUUAGAUCUCAAUUGAGUGUUACUAUGCUGAAUCUAGUGUUAUGGAUCCAACAUAUUGCUGUUUUUUUAGAAUAUUUAUUUUCUAAUAAAGAAAUUAUUUCAUGAAUGCCUCCCAUCACCGCCUCAUUUUUUCAAGUAAAAUUGGUAGCAUAACUGAGCAACUGUGCAGACCUGUCUUCCACCUAUUUUAUUUUCAUUUUAAAUGGAUACAUUUGAUUUAAGAAAAAGAAGAUCGUAGUCCUGUACAAGCAUGUUAAUCAUGGAUUCUUUGGGUUCUUUAAAUUGGUAUUUUCUCAUUCUAGGGUUUCCAGAAUUUCUCCCAAGCUCAUUGGUAAGCUCCACUCAGAGCAAGCACCUGAAGCACAAUAUCUCAAAUCUAAGUAUGUCAUGACUGAGAAUAGCCAUUAUUUUUAUCUGUCAGUUAUAACAAUUACCAAAACAUCAUAUGUCACUUAUUUGAGUUUUCCAAGCAAUUGUAAAUCUCAAAUGAUAUAUGACUCUGUUCUAUCAAAAUACUUCAUGGAAACCAGUCCACUGCUCUUGGUAUGUCUUCUGGUUCUUAAAAUGCUGAUUGUCGACGCAACAAAUGUUGUCUACUUUUGUAUUAUAAGGCAACUGCUGACCAGAAGUUGAAAGUAAUCUAUUCCUCCAAGAAUAGACUCUUGAAUCUUCAAACUUGUCAAGAAUUUUUUGCUAAUUAUUGGCAUAAAAACUUGUACUUCCAGGGAAUGGGAGAGCCACUUGAAAAUAUUGACAGUGUUAUUAAAGCUGCAAACAUUAUGGUGCACGACCAGGGCCUUCACUUUACUCCACGCAAGGUCACUGUUUCUACUAGUGGGCUUGUCCCACAGUUGAAACAUUUCCUCCAUGAAUCCAACUGUGCUUUAGCUGUUAGUUUGAAUGCUACCACUGAUGAGGUACAUUUCAUUCCGUUAUGUCUUAAUUUACUGGAGAAACACGCUGAUGUGAGUGACCUUCUCUUUCAUAAUAAACUAUGCAGAUCAGAAACUGGAUAGGGCAUAACAUCUUCAAACUGUGUGCGCAUAAGCUAACACAAAGGUUUGUUAGCUAAGAUGUUCUGACUUCAUGUUAGCUCAGAUAACCUGAUACAGCUUCUAUAAACAUACAUCCUUUACAAUAGUAAUGUUGAAAUAUGACCGAGGGUUAAGAAAAUCAUUUAUUGAAUCAGACAAAUGAUUACUGUAAAUCAUUUAUGUUGCAUGUUCCAUUAUUUACAGUAGAGUCCAAAAUCAAUUGUUAUGACCAAAGGCAGCACAAAACACCGUCUGUGUUCAAUGAAGCUCAUUGAACCAAAACAUGUGAGUUUCAGGAAGUUGGGCAGUAGCUGAAUAAUCAGAUUCUAAGAAACUGGAGUACAGCUGAAUUUGAAACAUGAAGUAAAGAAUUUUUAAUUUAGAGUAAUGCCUUUUCCAAUUAAGUGGUAUUUUGUAGGGCAUUUGACAUCUCUGAAAAGUAGAUGUCUGUUGUACCUUUCAUCGGUUAACAAUAUGUAUGCAAUCCAGUUAAGAGUACAAUUAGAUGGAAACAUACCUUCCUGGUUUGCUGUGUGAGAAAAUCCUCCCUAGAGAUUGGAAAAGAACUCAGCACUGAAGGCUAGUUUUGUUGGUUUGGAUGUCAUGAAGAAAUCACUGGCUUUUGGAAAAUUGCUCAGCUAAACAUUGUGGGCAAAGUCGCCAACAUGUCAAACCUCUCCAGCUCAGUUUAGUGUAACAAAAAUGCUCACUACUGACCUCAUUGGCUUGAAAAUUGGUCUUUCUAUUUUUCUUGAAAAAGUUAAGCUUUGUUGUUGCCUUGGUAGUACUUCCCUGUUUGCUUAGCCUUCAUGCUAUUUUAAUUCAAAAACAGCUUAUUGGGUUAAUAAUCCAACUUAUUUAUGUGUUUGAAAUUGUUGUAUUGUAGUGACUACAACGGCAAUUGUUUGUUUUCAGUGUUGAUGAUGCAAAGAGACUUGUUGAUAUUGUUCAAGGCAUUCCAUGCAAGAUCAAUCUCGUCCAAUUUAAUCCUCACUGUGGAUCCCAGUUUAGACCAACCAGUGCAGAAAACAUGAUUAAGUUUCGAAACAUUUUGGCAGGAGCCAAGUGUUGUUUUCUUGCGAUACAGUAGAGGUGAUGAUCAGACGGCUGCUUGUGGUCAGCUUGGCAAACCUGGAGCAAUCCAGACUCCCUCACUUCGUGUCCCAGAGCAAUUUCAAAUGGCUGUAAAUGCUUAGGUGCGCUUUGUCUUGCAUUGAAGAUGAAGUAGAAUUCUCAUGCUUCGGGGGUCUUCUUGACAUGGAAGGAAAGGUGAAGUAGAUUAAAAGCAAGGGAAAUUGGGAUACCAGAUUGUUUUAUUACAUCUUAUAUUGAUUAGGUCUUCAACAUGAAUGCAUGUUUAUUGGAUCAGAACCUUGGUCUUCUAACUAGCUCUCACACCGAUACUCAUUUGCUGCCUCUUUUCAAGAGCACCGGACCAUCACCGUUCCCGCCGAAUGGCACAUUUGCACCCGCUGACUUUCACCUGAACUGCAUAAAUGACAAAAUCAAAGCUUCUAUACGAACAGGGAUGUUAUGUUAUGAUUGAUUGUGUGAUGGAAAAGAAAGCGUCAACUCCAGAGCAGCAUUCUUCAUGACUGCUGAUGCCUGCCAUUAUCAGAACAUGUCGUGUCUUGAAUCUUGAUGUGCGAUUUGUUAAUUCACGAAUAAAAUUCGAGUUAAUUAACAUUUGUUUUUUGGUAUAUGUGUGAAUAAGGUGAUUAUUUACAAGAGCAAACAAUGGCUAUCGUUCACUUAUUGAAGUGGAUGUGAACUAGAUUGUUUACCUGCAAUAAUAAUUGUACUGAAUACUGAUAUCGAACCGACGCAGGGGGGGACAGUACAUUAGGUUUGGGGCCAGAUUAGAAAACAAAAAUUAGAGGGGGCAAAAGUUAAAAUUUAUUAAUUUUAGAGCUAAAAUUUAUAAUUAUCCAGGAGGAGGCGGGGAAAAAAACAUUUCGCAGCAGCCACCCUGGCAACCUGUAUUGCCAUCAACAUCGCUCGCGCCGAGUGGAAAAUGAAAUUUAGGUAGCGUAUGGUUGUUGUUUUAGGACAAAAAAGAUUAAGACAAGUGAGAUAGAAAGGAUAUAUUUCUUACUUUUUUUUUUUGAAAUGAAAGAAAUUUAAUUUAAAAAAUAUUUUAAUGAAAAUUAUUUUAUGUUUGCAUCUUAAUUUCUCUAACCAAAACAUAUUUUUAUUUUUUAUAUAUUUGUUCUUUCUAUUCUAUGUUAUUUACUUCGUUAUUUGUAUUAACUGAUUGGCUCAACAUAGAACUGAGAACAAAACAAGAGGAACCAAGUGUCAGAUCCGACGUAUUAGGAUACGUAUUAACAAGUGUUUAAAAAAAGAUUAGGUGAAAAAGAGAUUAGGUACGCAAAUUUGGCCACCAAAUUGCUUUAUAGAAGAAAGAAGAGAUAUAUCAAAAGUAUAAUGCUUGAUUGAUAUAUGCUGCACCACAAAAAUGUUGCGUGAGGAAUUGAAUGCUGGAUGCAAGAGAGAUUAUAAACGACAAAGUAUAAAGGUGCGAACUUUGCUUUCCGUACUGUCUCCCACUAAGGUUUGUUUAGCAUUAUAUUUUGAAAGUUUUUUUAAAACAUUUAAAAAAAAAUUAAUUUUUUUUUAAUGUUUUCAUGAAAUUUUGAUGUGUUAUGUCAAAAAUAAUUUUUUUAAAAUAAAAAAAUAUUUUUUUAAUAUAUUUUAGAAUAAAAAACACUUUAAAAAACAACCGCUAUCACAUUCCCGAACACACAAGAAAUCAUUACUUGCUAUACCUUGUCUUUUAAUUCAAAAUGGUCAAAAGUAGGGAUGCUGAUGGGUAUUUUAUUUAUUAUUUAUUUAAAAAAAUUUAAAUACUUAUAAAUUAUUUAUCGAGUUUCAAGUAUCUAAUAAAUAUUUAUUAUCUAUUAUUAUUAUUUAUUAAUUAAUAAAAGAUAAAAUAGUGUGUGUGUAUUUGAAGUAUGUGUGUGUAUAUUAAAUGAUAAAUAUUAUUUAUAUAUAUGUAUUUUAUGUCAAUAUUAAAGUAUGUAUAUAUCAUAUUGUAUUAAAAAAAAUUAAAUAUUCUACAAAUAUAUUUAUAUAACAUAAAUAUAUAUUUUCGGAUUAGGUUAGGCAGAUUUCAAAUCAAGUUUGAUAAUAUUUACAUUUUAUUUAUUAUUUAUAAGUCUAAAAAAUAUUUAUUUAUUCAGAUCAGGUGAAUAUACAUUAAAUUCAGAUUAAAUUUUCAUAACUGGAGUUAUAAAAUAAGGAUGAAAAUAUUGCCAAAUCGAUGGCAUGCGUUAGUGUUAGCCAUUAAUGCAUGGGAUGGGGAGGGGGAGGUAUUUUCCAAUGAAGCGCAAUUACAUUUAAUACCAUACCAAAAGAGAAGGAUAAUUAAAUUCUCUGUAUUGAUUUCAAUCUCAUUUGGUGAUGAGAUAUAAUCUGAUUAUCAAUUUUUUACUUAAAACUACGACUAACUUAAACCUUUAAACUAUUUUUCCUACAUAAUAUUUAAUUAUCUAUAUACUAACUUAAAAUUUCAAGAGGCGAUUCUCCGUGGACCAUUUUAAGAUGGUAAUGUCAUUUUGGAUUACAAAAAUUUUAACAUAAAAAAAAUAUUCAAGUUGUAAAAAAGCAUUUGACAUUGUUAUUAGAUUCAAUUUAACUGGUAAGUUUGAAAUUUUUUAACCCGAUUUCUUAUCUAGUAUGAGUUUAAAAUUAACUCAUGUGAAAGUUAUCCGAAUGUGAUCCAAUCAACUUGGUGAGUCCAAAUACAAUUUAAAUAACCAGUAAGAACAUGGUUUGGUUUUAAAAAAAAAAUGACAUGAUAUUUUUUUUUAAUAUCGAAACAAUGAUAUAUCAGAUCGAAUCAAACUUCGUAAUUUAACCUCCUAAACCCGUGACUCGGAUUAUGAAUUCCAUUGAGUUUAACAACUUUUUUAAACUAUUUUACUUCGCAGUUUAACCAACUUAACCCGUGACCCGAUUUAAUUGAUUUUUUUUUGUUUUUAUUAGCUUUGCCUUUAAAUAUUGAGUUGUUUCAUAAUUCGAGUAGGCUCAUAUAAAAAAAUUUAAUAUUUUUUUUUUGAUUUCAUCAUCCAACAUCUAGUUUAUUAUGAUUCAGGUUUUGUCAUUUAUUUCAGUUUAUUUAAAUAUUGUUUUGUUCUCAGUUCUAUGUUGAGCCAAUCAGUUAAUACAAAUAACGAAGUAAAUAACAUAGAAUAGAAAGAACAAAUAUAUAUAUAUAUUAAACAAACAGUGUAUUAGGUGGAAGAAACAGAAGGCACAACCCCAUACCCAAAAAAACAAAUAAAAGAAUCAACAAAAACUAAAACUUGUGGGUAAGAUAUUCUAGCAAUCUUUACUGUUUAUCCUUUCACAAUUCACCAUAGCAUAAUUUUUUAAAAAAAUUCAUUAUGAUCAUUAAACCUUUUUUUUUUUUGGCAUGAUUGUGCUAUUUUGAGCUCAGAUUUGAACUCAAUUGCAUGGUUUUUCUAAAAUGAAUGAUUGAAUUGAAAGAAAGAUAAUUGAAGUGAAAAACACGGGAGAAAUAUAGAUGGUAGUUUUGAGAUUUUUUUAAAAAGUUUAUUUUUAUCCCUCAAUUUUUUUAGCUAUUAGGUGAUUGGUUCUUAUAAUUUUUUAAAAAUAAAUUUUGAUAAUAAAUUUUAUUUCCCUUAUUUUUAGUUAUUUUUUGGUGGAGGAGAGAGAGAGGGUUGCCAGGUUCCAGCUUAGAGAGAGAAAAUUAUCGUUGAAAAUAAUUUUGACCACCAAAGUAGUCUAUUUUUAUGUCAAAUAGUGUCAUUUAAUGAGGUGGGUUAAGAUUAUGUGUGUUUUUUUACCUUGAAAACAAUUAAAAAUAUAUAUAUAAACUCAAAAAGAUUUUGGUUUUAUGUUGAUUUCGGGCUUUUGGGGUGAUGUUUUGCACUUUUAGAGGCUAUAAAUUGGUUUAACAAUGCUCGUAGGAUGUUUAUUAAGUUUCUUGGGUAAAAUAUUGGUUCAAAAUGGGUUUUUUGGUUUUAUAUUUUUCCGGCCACACUAGUGGCUGAAUUUUAGAAAUUCCAAAUAACAUGUCGUCUAUUUUUUUUUAAAUUAGAGCGGACAAUAUGUCAUCUGUCCAAUUAAACUAAAAAAGAAUAAAGGCUCCCGUGCAACCCUUUUCUUGGUAGGCUAGGCGCCUAGCCUUGCUUACAUGGCCCAUCAACACCUGAUAUCUAUACGAAUUGUUUUUGUCUUUUUAGUCUUUUUUAUAUAGUGAUUAUUUUUUAAUUAUAUAAGAUGUGUUUAAUUUUUUACGAAGUUAGUAUGAUUCAUCUAUAAUUCUUUUAUAUAGAUUAAACAUUUAUUUGUUUAUAGUGUUUAUAGUAUGUACAUAAUAUUUGUUUUUCUUUUAUUUUAUUUAAUAAGUUUUAUGUGUGUGUCGAUUUCUAUUAUAAAUUAAUUUUAAUAAAUAAACUCAUUGAACACAACCAAGUAAAUGACCUAUAUUAUGAUAUUACAUAUCUUGAUCUACAUUUGUUUCUUAAUUUUUCUAAUUAUAUUUUUAUUUAUUGUUAAUGAUUUUUUUCAUUUAUUUACAAUAGUUUGUAAUUUAUUUAAUUAGAUGGGUGCAUAAGUUUUUCUAUUUACAUUUAUUAUACUCAUGUAAAAAAUAAUGUUGAAAAAUUCUACAUGUUCAAUUUUUUAUUAUGUAUUGUUGUUUUUAAUUUGAUCUUUAUUCUUAUUAUUUUUUAUUUUUAAAUUUAUCUUUCAAUCCAAGUUGAUAGUGUAUUGUUUUUUCCCCCAUUAUUUCCCAUUUUUAUUUUUUUCAUUAAUGCCUUUUUUGUAGGUAUUUUUAAAAUAAUUUUUAAAUUUAUGCUUUAAUUAAUGCAUAUUCUCUGUUAUAUUUGUUUUUUGUUUUUUUAGCUCUUUUUAAAUAUCAAUUAUUUUUUUAAUUAUAUUGGUUGUGUUUAGUUUUUUAAGUGGUUAGCAUGUUUCAUUUGUAUUUUUUUAUAUUUUAUAUAAAUUAAAUAUUUAUUUUUUUAUUAUACAGUCUUGCAUAAUAUUUUUUUAUUUUAUCUUAUUCAAUAAAUUCUAUAUAUGUAUUGAUUUCUAUUAUAAAUUAAUUUUAAUAAAUUAAUUUAUUAAAUAUAACCAGGUAGAUGACCUAUUUUUUUUGUACAUAUAUUUUCUUAUUUGAUAUGGUUGCCUCUUUUUUUUUUCAAUAUAAUUCAUAUAAAAUCUACUUAUUUAGUUGAUGAGAUUAUAACACAAGUUAUUAGAUUUUUUUUUAUUAAAAAAAUAUUUUUGUGACGCCUAAGUAUUUAAAAUAAUAUGACCCGCAUAAUAGCGUGUACAUUGUUUCCUUUUUCCAAACUCUGAAGUCUACUGUACACUAAAGAAAGAAUAUAUUCAGUGUCUACUGUGCACUAAAGAGAGAUAUUCAGUUAAUUUAUUUUUUUUUGUUGAAAAUGGAUAUUCGUAAGUGGAUCGUAGAACCACGCUCCCGCACAACGAAUAUAUUCAGUUUUUUGGCGGCAUCACUUCAUGCCCACCACUUCUUUCCCAAAUUCUCUCGACUUUACUCCUCAUCACUUUCUCAGCUCUCAAACACUGGUAACUGCUCUCUGUGCUCUCUUUGUUUUGAAAGAAAAAGAAAAGGAAAAAAACCAAAACCAUAGCCAGCUAGCUAGGGAAGAGAAGAGAUCCUGAUACUGACACCGAUACUGACCUACUGUAGCAGUAACUUUCUCUGCAUUGCAUAGAAAUAGAAUGGGAGGUUGUAGCAAAGAUGAUGUUAGUUACCUGGAUCGCCGAUUCUCAAAGAAGGUUCGCGAUAAUGUCUAUGGCAACAUUUAUCUGGAUCCGGUAUUAUCAUUAGACAUCUUUCCUUCUCUUCUCCGAAUUUCUUUGAUUCGACUUUCCUAGAUUGAUUGAUUGUUCAAUUCAAUUUUGAUUUCUUUUCGUCACCGAAUCGCGCUACUUUUCUUUUCUUUUGGAAACGGCGUUUCGUUCGUUUCGUUCCUUUUAGUGAGGAAUUAUAAUUACAAUUUGAAUUAUUGAUGUUUGCUUGCUUGCAUGUUUCUCUGAAUUGAAUUGAAUUUAAUUUUAUUUCAGCUCUCUUUGAAGUUCGUCGAUACCGAGCAGUUCCAGAGGCAAGCGCAAGUCUGAUUUAUUUAUUUAUUCAUGUCAAAAUAUAAUUAAAUUGAAUCGAAUCAAAACCAUUCACCAUCCGAGCUCACAAGUUUUACUAUAUGUGUGUAUGCAGACUUCGAGAUCUAAAGCAACUCGGUGAGUGUUAUUUAUAUUCCUCUGUGCCUACUUGACCUGAUUUUAUUAGCAUAUCUUUUCCUGUGACUCUGAUGUUUCUACUUUUUACACCGCGGCUAAGAAUUUAAGCCUGUAUAUGAAAAUUUUUAUUUUCUCAUGCAAUUAAUUAAUUCAAUAGUUUUGAAGGGGGAAAAAAAAAACUAGCUGCCUGCCUGCAAAGUAGCUUUUAAGUUUCAUGCUGAAUAUCCUUGUUGGAAUCAGAUAUGUUUUAUUUAUCUAGAAAUACUAGUUUGUGUGAGACUAUUUGACUACUCUUCUAUCACAUAUAGUCUUCAACGAUGUUAAAUUCAAUUUAUCAGGAAAAAACGAUAGAAUUUUUGUUCUGAACAAUUUCAAGUUCAUCCCUGAGUGAAGAACAUGGAGUAACUUGAUUGUUUGCUUUGGUCACUAUUAUUCUUUUUAAUGGAAUCUUGGUUGUUUUUAGCACUCUGAUUUCCAUAACGGUCAAAUGUGAUGUCAGAAUCCAUAGUUCAAAGAAAUUGGCUGAUCAAUUACAUCAUUGGAAGAAUUAGUCACUAAACUGGACCUAGUAAGCUAUAACUUGUUCACCAGCAAGAGUGUUGCAACAAGCCAUUUCAGUGUUCUGUAUAGAAACAACCAUCUCUAACUUCCAUUUCUGAGAGAUUUCAUUCUUUUUACUAAACAAGUUUUACUCUUAUGCAGGUCUAACAUACAUGGUUUACCCAGGGGCUGUGCAUUCUCGAUUUGAGCACUCACUUGGUGUAUUUUCACUGGCUGGUGAAGCAGUUCACAGAAUCAAAGCUCAGCAAGUAAGAAUGUCACUCUGAACAUCAUUCUCAUCAAGAUCUCCAAUUAUGGGCAAUUGUCCUUCACACACAUCCCAUAUUUGUAGGGUUCAGAGCUUGGUAUCGAUAACUUGGAUAUACAAACAGUGAAACUUGCUGGUAAUGAAUUGUGCAUCAUUAAAAUGGCUUUACUUAUGGUUGCUUUUCGUGUUUGUGUAUUUAAUCUCUUCCUGAUUUAUAUAGGACUACUGCAUGAUGUUGGCCAUGGGCCAUUCAGCCACAUGUUUGAGCGUGAGUUUCUCCGUCAGAUUCCUCAUGGCAUUAAAUGGUAAUUCUGGCAAUGCUUUCGGAUUUCCCUCAGAAAUUAGGACCAUUCUUCACUUCUUUGACCUUUCUGUUUUCAUUGGUAAAGUCAUUCCAUUAAAAUGUGAUUAGAAGGAUGCUAGAAUAACAAUUUCCAUAUGCUGAUUAUACUCAUGAAUUUCUUGUGCUUAAAUUUUUACAUUUGCUUGUUUUUGCGGAGCUUGAUAUCUUCUUGAUACCAUAUCACAACUUAUUUGUAUUCAUUGAUCAUAGAUGCAGAUGGUUGAUGUGUUCGUUGACCAAUAUCAUGAUGUUAAAACCAUAAUUUUUUUUUCUAACUGUUUUAAGUGUUGUAUUCUAAUAAUUUUGUUUGUUACCUAUUCUGGUUGUGAAUGCUGAGAAUAAUGGACUGAAAAAGAUUAACCAUGUGAUUCCAGAGGCUAAGAAUAUAGCUGAUUUCAGUAUUUCUAUGCAGAUUCCAUUCAGUUUUUUCCUGUAGGAAUGAUGUAAAUGUUUCCUUUGUUCCUUCCUUUCUAUAUGCUGUACUAACACAACACAACCUAGUUAAUUAGUAAAUGUUGAUUUCAGAAAAUGCAUCUUUCUACCAUCUGAAGAAUUUAUUUUGCACAGUGAAAUCAUGUUUUAUUUAACAAUAUGGGUGGAUGAUAUGCCAUUGUUCUCCCAGUUAGGCAUUUGCAAUACCUUCAUUUGAUUAUUGCCGAACAUUAUGAGUUACAUUGAUGAAAACAGUAUUUUUCGGUUUGUGAUAAAUCUUAUGGAAAAUGCUAUACCUUUCCUAUAGUCAUUACUGGUAAUUGCUUCUAAUGAGAGGAUUUGAUCCAAUAUUUGAGUUAUUGUUUUAAAUAUUUUCCAGGUGUCAUGAGGACAUGUCUGUGAGAAUGAUAGACCACAUUGUCGAUUUCCACCAUAUUGAUAUUGAUGCUGAAUGCCUAAAGAAAGCAAAGGUUAUAUCUUGACAGAAUUACUUUUCCUUUCUUCUGCUGGAUUUUCUUUUUUCCUUUCUUGGUUCAAGUUUUUCAUUGAACACGUGAUUGUGUCAAUUUUAAUCUCACCAUCAACAACAUCUCUUUUUGUUGUUUCACUGAGGUUCUUUUAUCUACUUAAAGAAAAACAGAUACAUGUACACUGAUUUAAAAAAAAAAACCAAUUGCUAAUACAUGGAUCCCUUAUGCAUCUGUGUCCUCUUUUACAGGAAAUGGUCAUUGCAAGCACAGAACAUGUUUCUCAUAAAGUAAGCCAUCUGACAGUCCAAGACUCUAUCUGUGGUUAGCAACCCUCAUUUCAAUUCCUUACGUAUCUAAUUUAAUCAUUGGCUAAUUUUCUACGUUCUCUUACAUGUAGAGUGUGAAUGAAAAGCAUUUCCUAUAUGAUAUUGUUGCAAAUGGUCGGAAUGGUAUAGAUGUUGACAAGUUAGUUGAUCUCUCUCUAUAUACUUAUCCUUACGAGUCUCCAAUCUCCUUAUUUGGGGUUACUUUCACUGCACAUGGUUUUGACAACAAAAAAUUAUCUGCUAGGUUUGAUUACAUUGUGCGUGACUCCCGGGCUUGUGGACUGGGCUGCAGUUUUCAGAUUGAACGGUAUGCAUGCUUUUAUUUUUAGGCAUGAUCAAACAAGUUGUUUAGGUAGCCUUCUUUUCAAGUCAACUCACAUGACAUUUCCAUCCAUGCUUUAGCCUUUACUUGGUUAGUUAGUUAUUAUACUUGUGUAUUCUUACCGUGUAAACUAGUGCUAUUCCUUAGUCAAUAAGCAUUCUUUUUAACUUACAGGUUAAUGGAUAGCAUGCGAGUUAUGGGUGAUGAGAUAUGUUAUCGUGACAAGGAUUGUUAGUAUAUGUUGUAAUUCUGUUUCCAGUUUUGCUGGUAAUCAUUGUAUUCUUUAAUUAAUUCUUGAUGUUCUUGUCAGAUCUUACAAUCUAUAAGUUAUUUUCCUCUCGUGCUGAUCUGCAUCGAACGGUCUAUACACAUGCAAAAGUAAAGGUGCCUAUAUAUUUGGAAUUAUUUUCUGGAAACAAAUGCUUUGUUUAGUUGAAUCUUUAUCCAAAUGGGGAAAUGCAAUGUAUUUGACUUUUCUUUUUCAGGCUAUAGAAAUGAUGUUUGUUGAAUCCUUGAUAAAAGCGGAUGAUUACCUUCAAAUUUCAUCAAAAAUUCAGGACCCAGCUGAAUUCUGGAAGGUUUGUGGGCUUAAAACAUUAAUUGAACUUGCUGUUGAUGCUUUGAUUUUAAUGUUCACGGGACUAAUGCUAUCCAUCUAAAUUUUGCAGAUAGAUGAUUCAAUAUUGAAAACCAUUGAAAUUUCUCAUGAUCAGGAGCUGAAGGAAGCUAGAGAUUUAAUCCUGCGCAUUAGGAGAAGAGACCUAUACCAGGUAUCCUAAUUUAUUAUCGGGACAGGUUUGAUGGCCUAAUUUUUUGUGAUCUAGGAGCAUGAUCUAUUCUUGUUUUGAGUUAUUUUGACUCAAAGGAAACCUAUGUUCCUAUUUGUUAACACACUAUUACAAUUUGUUAUAUUUUUCAGUUCUGCAAUGAGUUUUCUGUUCCGAAGGACAAGCUAGAGCACUUCAAAGACAUCACUCCACAGGACAUUGUUUGUUCCCAGGUUUUUAAUAGAUUACACACAAAAAAAAAUAUAUGUUCUAUGUUAGUCUUUUCUUUCUACAGCGCACUAAAUUUUUUUAAUUGAAAGUGAUUUUUCAUUCAGGGAAAUGGUGACAUUACACUAAAAGAAGAAGAUGUUGUUGUCUGCAAUGUGAAGAUCGAUUUGACACGGGGUAGAAGUAACCCUCUCGAAAAGUAAGCAGGAAAAGAGUCAAAUUAUGAUUAUGUUGGAAUCGUUCCUUGUUUUGUUGUUCUUUAAUGGGUCGGCUUCUGCAACUUUAAAUGACUCUGGUCUUUUGUUUAUGCAUGUGUUUCAACAUUCAGCAUAAAUUUUUUCCAGGUACAAAGUUCACUUCCAAUGUGCUUAAUUUAAAGUAUUUUUCCUAGCAUUUUUCUUUCUUACAAGACUAAAGAUUAGUAUGAAUCUCAAUAUUAUACAUGGUCUGCAUUGUCAAAUAUGUAGCAGAGGACAGUAGAACUCUAGUAAAUAUAUGCUGUAGUUUACUUUCUUUUGUUUUCAUAAAUUACAGGCUUGAAUCUAAUCAAGGAUUCGUAUCUCAAAAUCUUUUGACGUUGCUUAUUGUAACAUCCUUGUUGAAUUAUACUAUUGAAUUUAUGUUAUGUUACAACAGACACACAAGGGGCUGAUGAAAAAAUUGUUGUAAAAAAUAUGGAAUUUGGCUAUGUUUUUUUUCCUCGACUAAAUUUGUUAUGUAGAGGAUCAUUGGGUUCCAAUACCUAUUCAACCUUAAGGCUGGAGUCUCCUUCUUAAGCUAUAGCUUAGGGUUUCUAACUGUUUAAUGUUACAGUUUCUUAAAAGAAUAUGUUUCUGUUUUAAGGUUUUUUAACAGCUUUCCUUGCUAUCAGGACUUUGAGAGCAAUGAGAAAUUCCCGAUACAUGAUUAUCGCAUCAGUCAUUUGCUGCCAGCUUUUUGUGAAGAUAGGAUUGUGAGGGUGUAUUCUAAGAACCCCGAUCUGGUUUGUAACAAACAUAAGAAUGUUUUUAAAUAAUUAAUUAACUUUGAAUUGCUUUGUUUUGAUAAAUCAAUGCAUGGGCAUCAUUAUACAGGUGAAAACAGUUUCUGAGGCUUUUGAAAAUUUUCAGCUAAAGACAUAUGGAAUGAAAGCACAGGUACAUGCAACUCCUGAUAGGAAGAGGAAUCGUCGGAGGUUAGAACAGUCGUACUGAGAAGAAUCACCGAAGGCUCUUGUGGUUGCUACUAUUGUAUCGUAUUCCACAGUGCUUUUAUUUUGGAACUCGUACACUUCUUUCUAAAUGGAGAAAGAAAACUAGCUCGCAUACACACACAUAAUUGAAGAAUUUGAUUAGCAAGUGUAUAAAUUCACACUGCCUCCCUAUAUCUCCAUUUACUUUGAUACCCAGCACAAUAUGUGAAUAUUCUUUCUCAUACUCUGACUAGUAGGUGGAUGAUGAUGAUUUCUACCCCAAUGAAAUUUGUUCGUAGAUUUCAAUUAUUUGGAAUGGGUUUUAUUUUUCUGCCAUUAUUCUAUUAGGAGGGUUUUUUUUUUUUUUUUUCUUGUAAUUUUUUUGAGCUGGUGAUAGUGCAGUCAGAAAACAAGCAACAAAGACAUUGCAAAGGUAAUUGAGAACUUGGAGUUAGCUUGUAGGUAACAGGGAGAAAACUCUGGGUUCAGUUUUUUAAUUUGAAUUUGUAGCUUGGAAGUUCUGAAAGUUCACACUGAUUGAUGCAGGUCUCCCCUUCCAAGCAAUAGAUCUGUGUUUCAUUUAAUAGAUUGCAGUUUGCCUUGCCCUUGCAGACAUUAUCAAAGAUGACCAUGCAUGCAUCUGUCCGGCUAGCUUUGUGAUACUAAACGUGUACAAUCACUCCUGCUUAGCUAAGGUUUGUUGUCAGUGCUUGAGUCCCCACGUGCUGUCAUCACUGUUGCAAGAGAACAUGGAUAAACUAUGGGUAAGUCGGGCAUGGCAAUCUCUGUAUACAUCGCAUCAUCACAAAAAUUACAGUACUGAUAUCUUAGAGCUUGAAUGUAUAUACACACAUAUUACACACACACACACACAUAUAUAUUUGAUGUCCUGAAUUCGAAAUUACUUAUUUCAUUUUAGUCAAAUCUGUGAGAUUUUUGAAGUCACCAUGUAAAAGACAUGCCCUACAGUGAUAUGUGUUGGAGCCUUUUAUUCAGGCGUCCAGGCAAAACCCGUCAUUUUGUUGAAGCUUUAACUACUCCUGGAUCAGUUACCUCCAGCAUUUGAUGUGUGAAUAAGUAUGUACUUUGAUUUGGCAUCGCGGUACAUAAAUUCAUGUAGAACCCGUUUGCUUACGUGGUAGCGUCCACGUUUCCUGCAGUUUUAUUUUACAAGCUAUUUGAUUAAUUAAACAAACUCUUGUUAUUAUUCAUCCUACGGUCUGCUACAUUUAAAAAGCAAGAAAAAGAAAAGUAGCCAGGAGUUGCUGCCCGCGGUAAAAUACUGAACCGUACUCCACUAUUAACGUGAAUAGUUUUUUUUCUUCAAAAAACCAGUGUAGUUAAUUGAUUUCACUCGCACUAUUCACAUGAACGUGAACAAAAUUUUUUUUUUGUUUUUUUAAAAAAUUAAUUUAAGAUGAAUUAAAUUUACUCGUACUGUAAUCUCAAUUUUAUUUCUGAUAAUAUUUUAUCUAAUUUUGUAGUUCUUGUUGGAUGAAUUUUGUAUAUAAUAAAAUUGUAGAUAGUUUAAUGGAAUAAUAAAUUUUUUUAUAUAUGAAGUAUAAUUUAUUUCAUGAUGUAAUAACAAUAAUUAAAUCCACAAUAUUUAAAUUAAAAACCAUCAAUAUUAAUAUAUAUAUAUUUUUAAAUUAUUUUAUAACCUUAAUUUCAAAAGCAUUUUUAACCAAAUAUAUUAAACUAUUUUUUCUUUAACCUUAAUUUCAACUAUCGUUUUAAUCAAACAUCUAUUUUUUCAAACCAAUUUCAACUAAAAAUAUUUUUUAUAAAAUAACUUUUUUCAAACCAGAACCACAAUAACUACCUCAAUACCAAACACACUAAAUUGUAUUCUUUUCUACUUGCAUACGAGGCAGUGUAUUGACAACCAGUGAAUUGUGGAACUAAUUUACAAGCCCGUAAGGUAAAGAAAACAAAAGGAGUCACAACUCACAAGGUAAACCAGGCGGAUAUUGUCUUAAAUACCACCAAAGAACAUAAACCGAUCCCUUUCUGUACAUUUGGUGAAGCAAUUAAAAGGGCUUCAAACUCGCAUGAACUGAUCAGUGGUAAUCCAAGACAUGUUCGCUCUGAACGAAACUGUCAACAUUUUGAUGAAUAGUUGCAAGGAUUUUAGCAAUGCCGGUUGAUAGAAGAGCAUAAGGUACACGAUGAUAUUGGUCAACAGUGUCCAAAUUCAGCCCCAAACCCUGGACACUAUUAAAGAAAGCUGAUGAUUGUAAGAUCCUUCUUGAAAUUCCAAAUCGCUAGCAGAGGUUAGAACUUGAUGACCACAAACAAGUAUAGCAAUUUUUUUAUGCCUAAAACAUGGAGACUUUUCGAGUACAAGAGAAUAACCGUGUUCUAGUAACUUGGAAGUCAGGAAAACCUGUUUCCGAGAGAGAAACUUCUAAUGCCACUGUCGAAAUACCAUAUCACCGUGUGGUUACUAACUUGUGUUGCACAUCUGAUGAGAUUAAUGAUGGUGCCAGGGGGUGAUUUUGAGUUGCAGUACUUAAACAGGAAUUCUUAGUUUAAUAUACUGAGGAAACAUUAAGAACCAGCCCUUGAGUUUUAGUUGGAAAAUUAACGAAGUGAAACUAAAAUGUAUGAAGAGAACAAGCAGCACCUUGAAUUGGGUGAGAUAGGUAGAGAGAGGAGGACAUGGAAAGAGAGAGAGAGAGAGAGAGCGAGGUUCUUGAUCAAGACUAGAGAAUUGGAGAAGACUUGUUGAGGAAGCUUGCCAUUGCUGUCUGUCUCUAGCUCGUGUGCGUUCGUCGAUGGUUGGUCCUAGCACGUCUUUAAUAUUGGCUGGUUUUG
Molecule: long non-coding RNA, 41116 nt
Filed under: Populus trichocarpa (black cottonwood)
Lineage: Eukaryota; Viridiplantae; Streptophyta; Magnoliopsida; Malpighiales; Salicaceae
Description: long non-coding RNA (PTRI_LNC002197)
Source: RNAcentral